This 253-nucleotide ribosomal RNA is filed under the name uncultured bacterium. RNAcentral describes it as "partial 16S ribosomal RNA". It matches the Rfam family "Bacterial small subunit ribosomal RNA", at positions 524 to 777 of the family's 1533-position model. The record is from RNAcentral.
UACGUAGGGACCGAGCGUUGUCCGGAUUCAUUGGGCGUAAAGAGCUCGUAGGCGGCUAUUCAAGUCGAACGUGAAAUCUCGGAGCUCAACUCCGAACUGCGUUCGAUACUGGGUAGCUAGAGUCUGGUAGGGGGAUCUGGAAUUCCUGGUGUAGCGGUGGAAUGCGCAGAUAUCAGGAAGAACACCCGUGCGAAGGCGGUUCUCUGGGACGGUACUGACGCUGAGACGCGAAAGCGUGGGGGAGCGAACAGGG